Molecule: ribosomal RNA, 496 nt
Filed under: Samaris cristatus (cockatoo righteye flounder)
Lineage: Eukaryota; Metazoa; Chordata; Actinopteri; Pleuronectiformes; Samaridae
Description: partial 16S ribosomal RNA
Rfam family: Bacterial large subunit ribosomal RNA
Source: RNAcentral
AAUCACUUGUCCUUUAAAUGAAGACCUGUAUGAAUGGCGCCACGAAAGCUUAACUGUCUCCCUCCCCCAGUCAAUGAAAUUGAUCUCCCCGUGCAGAAGCGGGGAUAAGAACAUAAGACGAGAAGACCCUGUGGAGCUUUAGAUACUAAGUCCGGCCCAUAUACAUGCCAACAAAUAAAUUAAAUGCAUAAAACAUAUCGUAACCGAACUGAUAUCUUUGGUUGGGGCGACCAUGGGGAAAUAAAAAACCCCCAAGAGGAAAGAAGCACUACCCCUUUUACACCGCUUCCACAAAUAAAGGUUGACAGACCUAAUUCACAAAACCUUUGACCUAUAAUGAUCCGGCAAAGCCGAUCAACGAACCGAGUUACCCCAGGGAUAACAGCGCAAUCCUCUUCAAGAGCUCCUAUCGACAAGAGGGUUUACGACCUCGAUGUUGGAUCAGGACAUCCUAAUAGUGCAGCCGCCAUUAAGGGUUCGUUUGUUCAACGAUUAA